RNAcentral lists this ribosomal RNA (250 nucleotides) under uncultured bacterium. RNAcentral's name for it is "partial 16S ribosomal RNA". It matches the Rfam family "Bacterial small subunit ribosomal RNA", at positions 524 to 773 of the family's 1533-position model. The record is from RNAcentral.
UACGGAGGGGGCUAGCGUUGUUCGGAAUUACUGGGCGUAAAGCGCACGUAGGCGGUUUCGCAAGUCAGAGGUGAAAUCCCCAGGCUCAACCUGGGAAUUGCCUUUGUUACUGCGAGACUAGAGGCCGGGAGAGGGUAGUGGAAUUCCCAGUGUAGAGGUGAAAUUCGUAGAUAUUGGGAAGAACACCGGUGGCGAAGGCGGCUACCUGGACCGGUACUGACGCUGAGGUGCGAAAGCGUGGGGAGCAAAC